AUUGAACGCUGGCGGCAGGCUUAACACAUGCAAGUCGAGCGGGGGAAGGUAGCUUGCUACCGGACCUAGCGGCGGACGGGUGAGUAAUGCUUAGGAAUCUGCCUAUUAGUGGGGGACAACAUCUCGAAAGGGAUGCUAAUACCGCAUACGUCCUACGGGAGAAAGCAGGGGAUCUUCGGACCUUGCGCUAAUAGAUGAGCCUAAGUCGGAUUAGCUAGUUGGUGGGGUAAAGGCCUACCAAGGCGACGAUCUGUAGCGGGUCUGAGAGGAUGAUCCGCCACACUGGGACUGAGACACGGCCCAGACUCCGACGGGAGGUAGCAGUGGGGAAUAUUGGACAAUGGGGGGAACCCUGAUCCAGCCAUGCCGCGUGUGUGAAGAAGGCCUUAUGGUUGUAAAGCACUUUAAGCGAGGAGGAGGCUACUCUAGUUAAUACCUAGGGAUAGUGGACGUUACUCGCAGAAUAAGCACCGGCUAACUCUGUGCCAGCCGCCGCCGUAA
This 501-nucleotide ribosomal RNA is filed under the name uncultured bacterium. RNAcentral describes it as "partial 16S ribosomal RNA". It matches the Rfam family "Bacterial small subunit ribosomal RNA", at positions 30 to 523 of the family's 1533-position model. The record is from RNAcentral.